GACGAACGCUGGCGGCGUGCUUAACACAUGCAAGUCGAACGGAAAGGCGCUGCUUAUGUGGGGUGCUCGAGGGGCGAACGGGUGUGAAACAUGUGAGUAACCUGCCCUUGACAUUGGGAUAACUUCAGGAAACAUGGGAUAAUACCGGAUUGGGGCUCUUGCUGCACGGUGGGGGUUGGAAAGUAUCGGCGGUUGGGGAUGGCCUCGCGGCUUAUCAGCUGGUUGGUGGGGUAGUGGCUUACCAAGGCUUUGACGGGUAGCCGGCCUGAGAGGGUGACCGGCGACAUUGGGACUGAGGUGCGGCCGAGACUCCUACGGGGGGCAGCAGUGGGGAGUAAUACAGGAUGAUCGGAAGACUGAUGCAGCAAGGAAGUGUGCGGGAUGGAGGCCUUCGGUUUGAAUACCACGUUCGCUUAGGAGGGAGCGAGAAUGACAGUGAUGGGUAAAGAAACGCCGGCUAUCAACGUG
Molecule: ribosomal RNA, 468 nt
Filed under: uncultured bacterium
Lineage: Bacteria
Description: partial 16S ribosomal RNA
Rfam family: Bacterial small subunit ribosomal RNA
Source: RNAcentral